Molecule: ribosomal RNA, 253 nt
Filed under: uncultured bacterium
Lineage: Bacteria
Description: partial 16S ribosomal RNA
Rfam family: Bacterial small subunit ribosomal RNA
Source: RNAcentral
UACGAAGGGGGCUAGCGUUGUUCGGAAUUACUGGGCGUAAAGCGCACGUAGGCGGCUUUGUAAGUUAGAGGUGAAAGCCCGGGGCUCAACCCCGGAAUUGCCUUUAAGACUGCAUCGCUUGAAUCCAGGAGAGGUGAGUGGAAUUCCGAGUGUAGAGGUGAAAUUCGUAGAUAUUCGGAAGAACACCAGUGGCGAAGGCGGCUCACUGGACUGGUAUUGACGCUGAGGUGCGAAAGCGUGGGGAGCAAACAGG